UGUGGAUUAAUUCGAUGCAACGCGAAAACCUUACCUACCCUUGACAUGUCCGGAAUCCGAAGAGAUUUGGGAGUGCUCGCAAGAGAGCCGGAACACAGGUGCUGCAUGGCUGUCGUCAGCUCGUGUCGUGAGAUGUUGGGUUAAGUCCCGCAACGAGCGCAACCCUUGUCAUUAGUUGCCAUCAUUUGGUUGGGCACUCUAAUGAGACUGCCGGUGACAAACCGGAGGAAGGUGGGGAGUGACGUCAAGUCCUCAUGGCCCUUAUGGUAGGGCUUCACACGUCAUACAAUGGUCGGUACAGAGGGUUGCCAACCCGCGAGGGGGAGCUAAUCCCACAAAGCCGAUCGUAGUCCGGAUCGCAGUCUGCAACUCGACUGCGUGAAGUCGGAAUCGCUAGUAAUCGUGGAUCAGCAUGUCACGGUGAAUACGUUCCCGGGUCUU
This 441-nucleotide ribosomal RNA is filed under the name uncultured Rhodocyclaceae bacterium. RNAcentral describes it as "bacterial SSU rRNA". It matches the Rfam family "Bacterial small subunit ribosomal RNA", at positions 940 to 1382 of the family's 1533-position model. The record is from RNAcentral. Lineage: Bacteria; Pseudomonadati; Pseudomonadota; Betaproteobacteria; Rhodocyclales; Rhodocyclaceae.